RNAcentral lists this ribosomal RNA (1771 nucleotides) under metagenome. RNAcentral's name for it is "bacterial LSU rRNA". It matches the Rfam family "Bacterial large subunit ribosomal RNA", at positions 1124 to 2925 of the family's 2925-position model. The record is from RNAcentral.
AAAAGAGUGCGUAACAGCUCACUGGUCGAGAGGUCCUGCGCCGAAAAUGUCCGGGGCUGAAACACCACACCGAAGCCGCGGAACCCGUAAGGGUUGGUAGAGGAGCAUUCUUAGGGGAGCGAAGCAUUACCGUAAGGGGAUGUGGACUGCUAAGAAGAGAGAAUGCCGGAAUGAGUAGCGAGAGCAAGGUGAGAAUCCUUGCGGCCGAAUAUCCAAGGUUUCCAGAGUAAAGCUGAUCUGCUCUGGGUAAGUCGGGGCCUAAGGAGAGGCAGAGAUGCGUAUCCGAUGGACAGCAGGUUUAAGAUUCCUGCACCCCUUGUUAUCAGAACUGCGGGGACACGGGAAGGGAAGCAGAGCCGGGAAUGGAAAGCCCGGUGCAAGCGAAGGAGUCGCAGGGUUGGAAAAUCCGCCCUGCAUGAGACAAAGGCGUGAUGCGGAGCGAAAUGAAGUAGUGAAGCUGCGGCCCCUUCCUGUCGAGAAAAGCCGCUAUCGUGUAGCAAGGGCCCGUACCGUAAACCGACACAGGUGGAUGAGGAGAGGAUCCUAAGGCCGGCGGGAGAAGUGUUGUUAAGGAACUCGGCAAAAUGACUCCGUAACUUCGGGAGAAGGAGUGCUGCGCAAGCAGCCGCAGAGAAAUGACCCAAGCAACUGUUUAGCAAAAACACAGGUCUAUGCGAAACCGGAAGGUGAGGUAUAUGGGCUGACGCCUGCCCGGUGCUGGAAGGUUAAGGGGAGAGCUUAGCGCAAGCGAAGGUUUGAACUUAAGCCCCAGUAAACGGCGGCCGUAACUAUAACGGUCCUAAGGUAGCGAAAUUCCUUGUCGGGUAAGUUCCGACCCGCACGAAAGGCGUAAUGAUUUGGGCACUGUCUCAACAACACACCCGGUGAAAUUGAAAUACCAGUGAAAAUGCUGGUUACCCGCGCCAGGACGGAAAGACCCCAUGGAGCUUUACUCCAGCCUGAUACUGGGAUUCGGUAUUGCAUGUACAGGAUAGGUGGGAGGCUAAGAACUCAUGGCGCCAGCCGUGAGGGAGCCGGUGUUGGGAUACCACCCCUGCAGUACUGGGUUUCUAACCUGCGCCCGUGACCCGGGCGGGGGACAAUGUCAGGCGGGGAGUUUGACUGGGGCGGUCGCCUCCGAAAGGGUAUCGGAGGCGCUCAAAGGUCUCCUCAGGAUGGUUGGAAACCAUCCAGAGAGUGCAAAGGCAGAAGGAGGCUUGACUGCGACACCGACGGGUGGAGCAGGUACGAAAGUAGGACUUAGUGAUCCGGUGGCAUAAAGUGGGAUUGCCAUCGCUCAACGGAUAAAAGCUACCCUGGGAUAACAGGCUUAUCACUCCCAAGAGUUCACAUCGACGGAGUGGUUUGGCACCUCGAUGUCGGCUCAUCGCAUCCUGGAGCUGGAGCAGGUUCCAAGGGUUGGGCUGUUCGCCCAUUAAAGCGGUACGCGAGCUGGGUUCAGAACGUCGUGAGACAGUUCGGUCCCUAUCCGGCGCGGGCGCAGGAUAUCUGAGAGGAGCUGUCCUUAGUACGAGAGGACCGGGAUGGACCGUCCGCUGGUGGACCGGUUGUCAUGCCAAUGGCACGGCCGGGUAGCCAAGACGGGAAGGGAUAAACGCUGAAGGCAUCUAAGCGUGAAGCCCCCCUCAAGAUGAGAUAUCCAUACUCGAAAGAGUGAGAGACCCCUUAGAGACGAUGAGGUAGAUAGGGCAGGGAUGGAAGCACAGCGAUGUGUGGAGUUGACUGUUACUAAUCGGUCGAUAGCUUGACU